GAUGAACGCUGGCGGCGUGCCUAAUACAUGCAAGUCGAGCGAACAGACGCGGAGCUUGCUCCUCUGACGUUAGCGGCGGACGGGUGAGUAACACGUGGAUAACCUACCUAUAAGACUGGUAUAACUUCGGGACACCGGAUCUAAUACCGGAUAAUCUAUUGCACCGCAUGGUUCGUUAGUGAAAUACGGUUUUGCUGUCACUUAUCGAUGGAUCCGGGCCGCAUUAGCUAGUUGUUAAGUUAACGGCUUACCAAGGCAACGAUGCGUAGCCGACCGGUCAGAGUGAUCGCCCACACGAGAGCGGGGACAGGCUCCAUGGGCCUAAGGGACGCAGCAGUAGGGAACCUGCCGCAAUGGGCGAGAGCAUGACGGAGCAACGCGGCGUGAGUGACGAAGGUCUCGGGAGCGUAAAACUCGGUUACUAGUGAAGAACAAAUUUGGAAUGAGCUAAGGACGGCUUGACGGUACUUAAUCAGAAAGCCACGGCUAACUACGUG
Molecule: ribosomal RNA, 497 nt
Filed under: uncultured bacterium
Lineage: Bacteria
Description: partial 16S ribosomal RNA
Rfam family: Bacterial small subunit ribosomal RNA
Source: RNAcentral